UACGGAGGGUGCAAGCGUUGUCCGGAUUUAUUGGGUUUAAAGGGUGCGUAGGCGGCCCUGUAAGUCAGUGGUGAAAUACUGCAGCUUAACUGUAGCAUUGCCAUUGAUACUGUAGGGCUUGAGUACAGAUGAGGUAGGCGGAAUUGAUGGUGUAGCGGUGAAAUGCAUAGAUACCAUCAAGAACACCGAUUGCGAAGGCAGCUUACUAAGCUGUAACUGACGCUGAGGCACGAAAGCGUGGGGGAUC
RNAcentral lists this ribosomal RNA (247 nucleotides) under uncultured bacterium. RNAcentral describes it as "partial 16S ribosomal RNA". It matches the Rfam family "Bacterial small subunit ribosomal RNA", at positions 524 to 770 of the family's 1533-position model. The record is from RNAcentral.